Molecule: ribosomal RNA, 465 nt
Filed under: uncultured bacterium
Lineage: Bacteria
Description: partial 16S ribosomal RNA
Rfam family: Bacterial small subunit ribosomal RNA
Source: RNAcentral
GACGAACGCUGGCGGUGUGCUUAACACGUGCAAGUCGAACGGUAAGGCCCUUUCGGGGGUACACGAGUGGCGAACGGGUGAGUAACACGUGAGUAACCUGCCCUCAUCUCUGGGAUAACAGUCGGAAACGGUUGCUAAUACUGGAUAUGAGCCUGCAAGGCAUCUUGUGGGUUGGAAAGAUUUUUUGGUUGGGGAUGGACUCGCGGCCUAUCAGCUUGUUGGUGAGGUAGUGGCUCACCAAGGCUUCGACGGGUAGCCGGCCUGAGAGGGCGACCGGCCACAUUGGGACUGAGAUACGGCCCAAACUCCUACGGGAGGCAGCAGUGGGGAAUAUUGCACAAUGGACGGAAGUCUGAUGCAGCAACGCCGCGUGCGGGAUGACGGCCUUCGGGUUGUAAACCGCUUUCAAUUGUGACGAAGCUUUUUGUGACGGUAGCAGUAGAAGAAGCACCGGCUAACUACGUG